UACGUAGGGUGCGAGCGUUAAUCGGAAUUACUGGGCGUAAAGCGUGCGCAGGCGGUUUUGUAAGACAGGUGUGAAAUCCCCGGGCUUAACCUGGGAACUGCAUUUGUGACUGCAAGGCUAGAGUACGGCAGAGGGGGGUAGAAUUCCACGUGUAGCAGUGAAAUGCGUAGAUAUGUGGAGGAAUACCGAUGGCGAAGGCAGCCCCCUGGGUCGAUACUGACGCUCAUGCACGAAAGCGUGGGGAG
RNAcentral lists this ribosomal RNA (245 nucleotides) under uncultured Sideroxydans sp. RNAcentral's name for it is "partial 16S ribosomal RNA". It matches the Rfam family "Bacterial small subunit ribosomal RNA", at positions 524 to 768 of the family's 1533-position model. Lineage: Bacteria; Pseudomonadati; Pseudomonadota; Betaproteobacteria; Nitrosomonadales; Gallionellaceae. The record is from RNAcentral.